CCUACGGGAGGCAGCAGUGAGGAAUAUUGGUCAAUGGAGGCAACUCUGAACCAGCCAUGCCGCGUGAAGGAUGACGGCCCUAUGGGUUGUAAACUUCUUUUGAAUAGGAAGAAACUUAUCUACGUGUAGAUAACUGACGGUACUAUUAGAAUAAGGAUCGGCUAACUCCGUGCCAGCAGCCGCGGUAAUACGGAGGAUCCAAGCGUUAUCCGGAUUCAUUGGGUUUAAAGGGUCCGUAGGCGGAUCUUUAAGUCAGUGGUGAAAGCCGACAGCUUAACUGUCGAACUGCCAUUGAUACUGGAGAUCUUGAGUACAAAUGAAGUAGGCGGAAUGAGUCAUGUAGCGGUGAAAUGCAUAGAUAUGACUCAGAACACCGAUUGCGAAGGCAGCUUACUAACAUGUAACUGACGCUGAGGGACGAAAGCGUGGGGAGCGAACAGGAUUAGAUACCCUGGUAGUCCACGCCGUAAACGAUCAUCACUCGCUGUUGGCGAUAUACUGUCAGCGGCCAAGCGAAAGUAUUAAGUGAUGCACCUGGGGAGUACGCCGGCAACGGUGAAACUCAAAGGAAUUGACGG
Molecule: ribosomal RNA, 578 nt
Filed under: uncultured Flavobacterium sp.
Lineage: Bacteria; Pseudomonadati; Bacteroidota; Flavobacteriia; Flavobacteriales; Flavobacteriaceae
Description: bacterial SSU rRNA
Rfam family: Bacterial small subunit ribosomal RNA
Source: RNAcentral